UGAGCCAUUAGCUCAGUUGGUAGAGCAUCUGACUUUUAAUCAGAGGGUCAGAGGUUCGAAUCCUCUAUGGCUCACCAU
RNAcentral lists this transfer RNA (78 nucleotides) under Staphylococcus pseudintermedius ED99. RNAcentral describes it as "tRNA-Lys". It matches the Rfam family "tRNA". From Rfam's summary of the family: Transfer RNA (tRNA) molecules are approximately 80 nucleotides in length. The record is from RNAcentral. Lineage: Bacteria; Bacillati; Bacillota; Bacilli; Caryophanales; Staphylococcaceae.